RNAcentral lists this ribosomal RNA (23 nucleotides) under Cunninghamia lanceolata. Its description in RNAcentral is "partial 26S ribosomal RNA". The record is from RNAcentral. Lineage: Eukaryota; Viridiplantae; Streptophyta; Pinopsida; Cupressales; Cupressaceae.
GCGUCCCCAGGUCAGGCGUGAAU